Molecule: ribosomal RNA, 384 nt
Filed under: uncultured Thiobacillus sp.
Lineage: Bacteria; Pseudomonadati; Pseudomonadota; Betaproteobacteria; Nitrosomonadales; Thiobacillaceae
Description: bacterial SSU rRNA
Rfam family: Bacterial small subunit ribosomal RNA
Source: RNAcentral
CUUGCCAGAGAUGGCUUGGUGCCCGAAAGGGAAUCGGAACACAGGUGCUGCAUGGCUGUCGUCAGCUCGUGUCGUGAGAUGUUGGGUUAAGUCCCGCAACGAGCGCAACCCUUAUCAUUAGUUGCUACGCAAGGGCACUCUAAUGAGACUGCCGGUGACAACCGGAGGAAGGUGGGGAUGACGUCAAGUCCUCAUGGCCCUUAUGGGUAGGGCUUCACACGUCAUACAAUGGUCGGUACAGGAGGGUUGCCAAGCCGCGAGGCGGAGCCAACUCCCAACAAAGCCGAUCGUAGUCCGGAUUGUUCUCUGCAACUCGAGAGCAUGAAGUCGGAAUCGCUAGUAAUCGCAGGUCAGCAUACUGCGGUGAAUACGUUCCCGGGUCUU